CCAUUCGUCAGUUUGCCGUGGUAGGGGAGCAUUGUUAACGCAUCGAAGCCUGAUGGCGACUGACGGUGGAGUGUUAACAAGAGAGCAUGCAGACAUUAGUAACGAGAAGGCAGGUGAAAUCCCUGCCCGCCGUAAACCCAAGGUUUCCCGGGCCACGCUAUUCGUCCCGGGGUUAGUCGGGACCUAAGCCGAGGCAGAGAUGCGUAGGCGAUGGACAGCAGUUUAAUAUUACUGCACCACCGAAAAUUUAAGCACAGAGGACGGGGCCCAGGAGAGGACCUGCCGGAUGAAAGUGGCAGGGGCGCAAGCUGACGGGGCGGUUUUACCAAACCGGAUUUCUCAAAUGAGCCUCCAAGAAAAGUCUGUGUGGAUACUAAGGUGCCCGUACCGCAAACCGACACAGGUGGGUGAGUAGAAUAUACUAAGGCGUAAGAGUGAACCCCCGUUAAGGAACUCGGCAAUCUAGCCCCGUAACUUCGGGAGAAGGGGUGCCCCCCUUUGGGGGGGCCGCAGUGAAUGGGCCCAACCGACUGUUUAUCAAAAACACAGCACUCUGCCAAGACGCAAGUCCAAGUAUAGGGUGUGACACGUGACCAAUGCGGAAAGAUUAAGGCAAGCGGUUAGUCGCAAGGCGAAGCUGUGAACCUAAGUCCCCGUGAAUGUCGGCCGUAACCAUAACGGUCCUAAGGUAGCGAAAUUCCUUGUCGGGUAAGUUCCGACCUGCACGAAUCGUGUAACGAGUUGGGCGCUGUCUCAACGGGGUGCUCAGUGAAUUUGUAUUGGCGGUGAAGAUGCCGCCUACCCGUGGAAGGACGGAAAGACCCUAUGCACCUUAACUGUACUCUGUCACUGUUGUUUCGGUUUUCAUGCUCAGUGUAAGUGGGAGACUUUGAGGCAGCCCUUUCGGGGGUUGCUGAGUCGUCAAUGAGACACCACCCUUGGGGAUUGAAACAUCUAACACCGGUCCCGUGAAUCCGGGCGGAGGACAAUGGCAGACGGUCAGUUUUACUGGGGCGGUAUCCUCCCAAAGAGUAACGGAGGAGCGCGAUGGUUGGUUCAACCUGGUUGGCAAUCAGGUGACGAGUGCAUUGGCAUAAACCAGCCUAACUGUGAGACCUACAAGUCGAGCAGAUGCGAAAGCAGGUCAAAGUGAUCCGGCGCUUGAAAAUGGAAUCGGCGUCGCUCAACGGACAAAAGGUACGCUAGGGAUAACAGGCUGAUUUUGCCCAAGAGUUCAUAUCGACGGCAAAGUUUGGCACCUGAUGUCGGCUCGUCACAUCCUGGGGCUGGAGAAGGUCCCAAGGGUCCGGCUGUUCGCCGGUUAAAGUGGCACGCGAGCUGGGUUCAGAACGUCGCGAGACAGUUCGGUCCUCUAUCCUCCAUGGGCGCAGGAAAAUUGCGGGGUUCAGUCCUUAGUACGAGAGGACCGGGACUGACGCACCUCUGGUGUUCCAGUUGUCUUGUCAAAGGCAUCGCUGGGCAGCUAUGUGCGGAAGGGAUAAGCGCUGAAAGCAUCUAAGCGCCAAGCCCAUCCCAAGAUAAGUUUUCCCUGAAGGAUCGUGGCAGACUACCACGUCGAUAGGAUGCGGGUGUAAGUGCAGCAAUGCAUUCAGCUUAGCAUUACUAAUCAUCCGUUCGGCC
RNAcentral lists this ribosomal RNA (1641 nucleotides) under metagenome. Its description in RNAcentral is "bacterial LSU rRNA". It matches the Rfam family "Bacterial large subunit ribosomal RNA", at positions 1210 to 2925 of the family's 2925-position model. The record is from RNAcentral.